AAUAGACAGUGAAAUAACCUUCGUCUCUGUCAUGAAUUUCUACACUCUCGCUGGUAUAUGAGUGCAAAAACCUCUUCUUUUCUCUCUCUAAAUUUUGCAAAUAACACGCGCACUUUCUCUCUCUUGAUCUCGUCGUUCGAGUGCGUGUUUCUGGACUCCCUCACUCUUUUGUAGAUCUCACACUCGGAUCUCUAGGGUUUCCCUGUUGUAAACACCGAAUCUGUUAAAAUGCCGCUUAGACUAGAAAUCAAGAGGAAACUUGCGCAACGAUCAGAAAGAGUAAAAUCUGUGGAUCUACAUCCAACAGAGCCAUGGAUAUUGGCAAGUUUAUAUUCAGGCACUCUUUGCAUUUGGAACUAUCAGACUCAGGCAAUGGUUAAGUCUUUUGAGGUUACGGAACUGCCAGUUAGGUCCGCGAAGUUUAUAGCACGAAAGCAGUGGGUUGUGGCUGGUGCUGAUGACAUGUUCAUUCGCGUGUACAAUUACAAUACAAUGGAUAAGGUCAAAGUGUUUGAGGCCCAUACAGAUUAUAUUAGGUGUGUGGCUGUUCAUCCCACUCUUCCCUAUGUGCUGUCAUCCUCUGAUGACAUGCUAAUAAAGCUCUGGGACUGGGAAAAGGGUUGGUCAUGCAUUCAAAUAUUCGAGGGUCAUUCCCAUUAUGUGAUGCAAGUGACAUUUAAUCCAAAAGAUACCAAUACUUUUGCCAGUGCAUCUCUCGAUCGCUCUAUUAAGAUUUGGAGUCUUAGUUCACCCGAUCCAAACUUUACACUGGAUGCUCACCUCAAAGGAGUCAAUUGUGUAGAUUAUUUCACCGGCGGUGAUAAACCUUAUUUAAUCACUGGCUCUGAUGAUCACACUGCUAAGGUGUGGGAUUACCAGACAAAGAGCUGUAUCCAGACAUUAGAAGGCCACACGCACAAUGUUUCUGCAGUUUGCUUUCAUCCUGAACUUCCCAUUAUAAUAACAGGUUCUGAGGAUGGUACAGUCCGCAUUUGGCAUUCCACCACUUAUAGACUUGAAAACACAUUGAAUUAUGGUCUGGAAAGAGUUUGGGCAGUUGGCUACAUGAAAGGUUCGAGAAGGGUCGUAAUUGGUUAUGAUGAAGGAACCAUCAUGGUAAAGCUUGGUCGGGAGGUGCCUGUUGCUAGUAUGGAUAACAGUGGGAAAAUCAUUUGGGCCAAGCAUAACGAAAUACAGACUGUUAACAUCAAGAGUGUCGGAGCAGAUUAUGAGGUUGCUGAUGGGGAAAGAUUGCCUUUGGCAGUUAAGGAAUUGGGAACCUGCGACCUUUACCCACAGAGCUUAAAGCAUAACCCUAAUGGUAGGUUCGUUGUUGUAUGUGGAGAUGGUGAAUACAUUAUAUAUACAGCUUUGGCAUGGAGAAACAGAUCAUUUGGCUCAGCCUUGGAAUUUGUUUGGUCAACGGAAGGAGAAUAUGCUGUUAGAGAAAGUACAUCAAAGAUUAAGAUAUUUAGUAAAAAUUUCCUGGAGAAGAAAAGCAUCCGGCCUACAUUUUCAGCAGAGCAUAUCUAUGGCGGCACUUUACUUGCAAUGUGCUCAAAUGAUUUUAUUUGUUUCUACGAUUGGGCUGAAUGCAGGUUGAUACGACGAAUUGAUGUCAAUGUUAAAAAUCUUUACUGGGCCGACAGUGGUGAUUUGGUAGCCAUUGCCAGUGAUGCAUCAUUCUACAUACUUAAGUAUAAUCGUGAUGUAGUUUCUGCUCAUCUAGAUAGCGGGAAAUCAGUAGAUGAACAAGGAGUAGAAGAUGCUUUUGAGCUUCUUUAUGAAAUUAAUGAACGAGUGCGAACUGGAAUUUGGGUUGGGGAUUGUUUCAUUUACAACAACUCUUCAUGGAGACUCAACUACUGCGUAGGUGGUGAGGUGAACACAAUGUUUCAUUUAGACCGACCAAUGUACCUGCUUGGGUAUCUUGCAAAUCAGAGUCGUGUUUAUCUCAUCGAUAAAGAAUUUAAUGUUAUGGGAUACACAUUGCUACUCAGCUUGAUUGAGUACAAGACUCUUGUAAUGCGUGGUGAUCUGGAAAGGGCGAAUGAGGUCUUACCAUCAAUUCCUAAGGAUCAUCUUAACAGUGUGGCUCAUUUCCUGGAGUCACGAGGUAUGGUAGAAGAUGCACUGGAAGUUGCUACAGAUCCUGACUACAGGUUUGAAUUAGCCGUACAACUAGGCAAACUAGAGAUUGCGAAGGAAAUUGCCACAGUAGCACAGAGUGAGUCAAAGUGGAAGCAAUUGGGUGAAUUAGCCAUGUCUACUGGAAUGUUAGAGAUGGCUGAGGACUGCUUGAAGCAAGCAAAUGACUUGAGCGGUUUAUUGCUACUCUAUUCUUCUCUAGGCGAUGCUGAAGGAAUUUCCAAACUUGCAUCUCUUGCCAAGGAGCAUGGCAAGAACAACGUUGCAUUCCUUUGUUUAUUUAUGUUGGGUAAAUUGGAGGACUGCCUUCAGCUUCUGGUUGAGAGCAAUCGGAUACCUGAAGCUGCACUGAUGGCUCGGUCUUACCUUCCAAGCAAGGUGUCGGAAAUUGUUGCUCUUUGGAGAAAGGAUCUCAAUAAGAUUAAUCCAAAAGCUGCAGAAUCUCUUGCUGAUCCAGAAGAAUAUCCUAAUAUGUUUGAUGAUUGGCAAAUCGCUCUCGCUGUUGAAGGCAAAGCUGCUGAGACAAGGGGCAAGUAUCCUCCAGCAGCUGAAUACGUGCAGCAUGCUGAUAGAUCAACCGCAAGUCUAGUAGAAACUUUUAGAAACAUGCAAAUGGAAGAAGAGCUAGAUAACGGAGGCUUGGACUAUGAGGAUGCAGAGCAAAAUGGAGAUGAAUCACAAGAUAGGCCAGAGCAAGUAGUGGGACAUGACGAUGGCCAAGAAGAGGCUGUUGUGGUGGAUGCUGACUCAACAGAUGGUGCUAUACUCGUGAAUGGCAAUGAGGCUGAGGAAGAGUGGGGUACGAAUAAUGAAGGAAAACCGUCAGCCUAAAAGCAAUUGGUUGGGCCGGUGUGAAAUUCCUAGUUUUGUUGCUGUGCUUACACCACGUCACUGAGACCACUCAAGACAGACGGUUCCAGCUGUGUAUGAUUGCUCUCAUGUUCCUAUGCCAGGUAUUCUAGAGGUUGCCUGGAAGAGGUGAUCGGAGGACCGGGUGUCUUUCUGCCAGUGGUGUGAUAAGCACGAUGAAUUUUGUUAUUGGGCGCAUACUACAGUAGACUUUGGAGUUGCAUUUAUUAGUUUAGCUGCUGCAUGAUUUUGUUAUAUCUUAUAUGCCGAUUUUUCUUGCAAUGACAUUUUCAUGUGCCAUUGUGAAUUGUAGAUACAUAAUAGUGUUAUAGAAAUCAACCCAUCAAUAUUAUAUGCAGAAUACUCCUCCA
Sesamum indicum (sesame) is the source of this 3368-nucleotide RNA transcript. It is a transcript of the gene named coatomer subunit beta'-2, with no coding region annotated. The record is from RefSeq and is a predicted model, not a curated record. Lineage: Eukaryota; Viridiplantae; Streptophyta; Magnoliopsida; Lamiales; Pedaliaceae.